CUUUAAAAGUGUAAUAAGAUCUGCAUGUUCCGGUAAAAUAGUGUGUAAAAUUCAAUGUCGGCAGAGUUGCAUAUUUUCAUUUGAAGUCAUAAUAUAUAGUUCAUAUCAUCAAUUAAGUGCAACUUUGGGACUCUAGACAUCGAAUAAUUAACAAAUUGAUAUACGUGCACAUGACUGCGAAAUCGAUUCGUGUUAAUGGCAUUCCGCGAGACAAGUGAAACACGAUGCCAUAAAAGUGAAGUGUCUAAUGGUGCGAUAGUGGUCCUUCUACAUGAUGACAGUAGUUGCAGCAGCAGCAGCAGCAGAAGCAUCAGACGAAACAUCAUCCACCAUUCGCCAUGCCAAGGAUUUGCCAACUUGUCGUCGAUUUACGAUCUUCUAUAACCGUACCUGCCUUCUAUGUGCGGCACGUUAUACACUGGUAAGGUUAUAAUCGAAUUAAUGUUUUUAUAAAAAUUUGCGCUGAUAUCAAUUCAAUUAUUGCAGUUAUAAAAUAAUCAUAUGUUUAUUAAAACGGAACAAUUAAAUUAACUAACGCGUUUAAA
This is a long non-coding RNA of Dalotia coriaria, 545 nucleotides long. RefSeq lists it as uncharacterized. Lineage: Eukaryota; Metazoa; Arthropoda; Insecta; Coleoptera; Staphylinidae. The transcript is spliced from 4 exons. The record is from RefSeq and is a predicted model, not a curated record.